UUAAGUUCAGCGGGUAUCCCUACCUGAUCCGAGGUCAACCUUAGAAAAAUAGAUUUAACGGCGAAAGACUAUUCGUCAAACAACCAGAGCGAAAAAUGUUUCCACAACGCAAGGGUUUGAUAAAUACCAGCCGGAAGAAUUCGAGAUGUGCAGGCCUUUUAUUGCUAAAAGAUCCACAGACAUCCAAUACCAAGCUAGGC
RNAcentral lists this unclassified non-coding RNA (200 nucleotides) under Peltaster sp. (in: ascomycete fungi). Its description in RNAcentral is "Peltaster sp. (in: Dothideomycetes) partial internal transcribed spacer 2". The record is from RNAcentral. Lineage: Eukaryota; Fungi; Ascomycota; Dothideomycetes.